Long non-coding RNA from Hemicordylus capensis (graceful crag lizard), 2487 nucleotides. RefSeq lists it as uncharacterized. Lineage: Eukaryota; Metazoa; Chordata; Lepidosauria; Squamata; Cordylidae. The transcript is spliced from 7 exons. The record is from RefSeq and is a predicted model, not a curated record.
ACGGAGGCCAGAGGUGGCGACAGGCCCAGCCCGGCCACAGAAGCAAGGCCCAGGAGGAGGGAAAGAAAGGGGGGGGCAGAAGUGGCAGUGGGGAAGAGAGAUAGCUGGGCCUGGCAUGGGCUGGUCGUGGUUAGGAAGUGGAGACUGGGGCAGAACAUGGUGGGGGGGGAGGUAACCGCCGGCCCCCCAAAGCACACAGAUGCUCUGUGCGGAGUCAGCCAGUAAAAGGAAAAGCCCCUCUCCUCUUUGCACAACUUAAGGGGCACACAGGGCUUAAUUUGUGCCAAAGAGUUCAUUUUUAACAGCAGGGCUCAGUUCACAUAUUUACAUGCAACAAUAAUUAAGGACUGCACAUGUAGUCCAUAUCAGUUACUCAGUGAACACACUAACACAUCUCCAUGUGUGACUGAUAGUCAGGCUUGAAACCUAGCACCUCUUUCUUUAGAGAUUACCACUGUGGGUCAGGAGGUCUGAAACUGCAAGCUUCUCCAAACAUCGAGGUGUAGACCAGUAUCAUCUGCCUGCAGGACUUAGGUUACCUAGGCUCAAGGAAUUUUUAGUGACAGAAUUGAAAAGCAGAGAGGGAUACAAGAGCAUCUCUCAGCAUAUGCAGGAUACUUUCCUUUGCUUCAGAACCAAGUAAUCAGCAGUCCCAUGCUGCAGCUAGGAUUAAAUUGAUUAUUGGGCUUAGAAAGGUUUGAGGCCACUAAUGUAAAAAGGAACAAAGUGUUUAUUAUUAAUAGCAAUUAUUAAAUACUUGGUAUUUAUCCAGUGCUUUUUGAUUUUCUCACCUACAUUACCUUCUUAUAACCUGAAUCACCACUCUACAGGGCAGAUCAGCAUCACGCUGAAGAUAGCGGGGAGGGGGGCUGAGGCUAAGUAAGAGAGAAUGGCUUAUCUAAGCCCACCUAGUAAGUUUAUGGCUAAGGCAAGAUUCAAAUCAGACAUUUUCUGGUCUGCAGUGCAGUCUUUCAGCCACUGUGCUACACCAGCUCUAUCGAUACUAGCGGUUCUCAAUAGUAAGUGGGUCCUUGAGCGGAGCAAGAUUCAUUUGGGGACAGGGAGGGAGGACCACACAAUUCAAGGGAGAGAAAAGAUUCUGCAGCAAGCAAAGCCCAAGUCACUUUCAUCCCAGCAGCAGAGAUUUAGCACUACAGCCACCUAAACUGCUACACAAACCAUGGGGUCAAUCUGCAGGAGUGGGGGAACAUACAGAAGCUUGUGGCCACAGCACUACCUCCUCUCUGCCCUGGAUGACUGGCUCUCGGGCAGCGGGGUUGGCAUGGCCGGGUCUUAUGACUACAAGGAAUCCCUUCAGAUCAAGCGUUACAGGUAAAACAGAAGGGCCCGAUGCACGUCCAAAGAAUGAAGCACCACUUCUAAGGGUGAUUGUGGUCCUUGGAAGAAGGGCUUUUGACGAGGAAAUGAGCGGCCCUUCAACGCACCUCCCGGCACAGAUGUUGCCGACAUGAAGAGAUGCUGAGCGAAGCCAAGCAUGGUGAAACAUGCUUACUGCCAUGACCAUUAUGAGGGACUCAGUUUCGACCAGAUGUUUAAAAGCCCUCAACUGUUGCCUUGUUACAGCCAUUGUCCGUUCAUAAAUGUCACUGAACUUCAGCUGGAAUUCCUCUGGCGUCAUGGAUGUUGAAUUUUGCAAGAGGGAAUCCCACAACAGGAGUUGUAUGACGGCGGCCACCAUGUGAUGUGGAAGCACAAUCCACGACCAGAGAAUUCGGCACUAGAUGGCAUAGCAGGCAUCCAAAUCAGUGUCAGAAAUUUCUGUCCUAGAGAUAAGUUUGGACAACAUAGGAGAAAACCUCAUAUUUGAAAGCCAUUGGUCAACAGGUAACUUUGAAUAGGAAUCCCCUAACUUUUGGGCAUGGUUUGAAAUUUCAGAGCAGUAAAAUCCAUUAAGUUUGGCAUCCAAAUGCUCUUUUAUAAACACUGAUUAGAAAGAGGAGACUAACUUAAUUUAUUUUUUAACUACAAAUCAUGUACAUUCCAAGUUCACACUUUCAGACCGUGUAGCUCCAAGCCAUAUUGCUGCACUAUACCACUGCAUUUAACCCAGUCAGUGAUUUGCAGAUAUACUCCUUUCCUUCUUUAACAGGGAUCUCUUGCGGAACCUUUUGUCCUCCACAAACGAUAAGCAAUAAAGGAGGAGCUUCUGAAGGGGAGGAUGGAAGCAAUAAUGUAUAAAUUUGGCAUCUUCACUAAUGUUAUAUCAGUGUUCUCUGAGUUCUUGCACUGUGUGAAGAAACAGGAAGGCUCUUUCACUUUGUUUAUACUGGUUACCCAAGUAUACAGUAUUGGUUACCAGAAAGAUAUGUAGCUGCCCUUGCCAUCUGGUGACUACAUUUGUGGUCCCUUGCCUUGAAGCAAGGCCAUAAUGAUACAUACUUCACUUUUCAAAUAUUUUAUUUUAGAGAAGUUUCUGCUUACUCUCACAGCUGUACAAGCCAGCUUGCACGUAACUGAAGAUUCAUC